RNAcentral lists this ribosomal RNA (292 nucleotides) under uncultured bacterium. Its description in RNAcentral is "partial 16S ribosomal RNA". It matches the Rfam family "Bacterial small subunit ribosomal RNA", at positions 505 to 796 of the family's 1533-position model. The record is from RNAcentral.
GUGCCAGCAGCCGCGGUAAUACGUAGGGUGCGAGCGUUAAUCGGAAUUACUGGGCGUAAAGCGUGCGCAGGCGGUUUCACAAGCUAGAUGUGAAAGCCCCGGGCUUAACCUGGGAACUGCAUUUAGGACUGUGGAGCUAGAGUGCGGCAGAGGGAGGUGGAAUUCCACGUGUAGCAGUGAAAUGCGUAGAUAUGUGGAGGAACACCGAUGGCGAAGGCAGCCUCCUGGGCCGACACUGACGCUCAUGCACGAAAGCGUGGGGAGCAAACAGGAUUAGAAACCCUGGUAGUCC